Molecule: unclassified non-coding RNA, 1601 nt
Filed under: uncultured fungus
Lineage: Eukaryota; Fungi
Description: sequence contains 18S rRNA gene, ITS1, 5.8S rRNA gene, ITS2, 28S rRNA gene
Rfam family: Eukaryotic large subunit ribosomal RNA (bases 486-1601)
Source: RNAcentral
GGAAGGAUCAUUACCGAUUUAUAGCGAUCCUCGCGUUUUUAGCGGGGUUCGCGUUCGUAUUUAAAACAACCCACUCUUGUAAAAUUAUAUGUUUUUUAUUACAUGAAAUAAAGAUCACUUUCAACAACGGAUCUCUUGGCUCUCGCAUCGAUGAAGAACGUAGCGAAGUGCGAUAAGUAAUGUGAAUUGCAGAAUUCCGUGAAUCAUCGAAUUUUUGAACGCAAAUUGCACUCUCCGGUUUUCCAGGAGAGUAUGCCUGUUUGAGGGUCUGUUUAAAAAAUAAUCGAGGCUGCUGCUGUGAUUUUUUUACGGUGGUGCUUCGGAAUUGGGUCAUCUUUUUCUACCUUUUGGGUUGUAAGCGACCUAAAAUUUUUUUUUUACGAUUUCCACGAACGUGUCUAAGAUUUUUUUCUUGUACGUUUGCGAAUCGAAAUCCUACUGGAGGUGACCGCCGCGUCGGUCUCACCUCUAUAACAUACCAUCAAAGGACCUCAGACAGGUAAGAGUACCCGCUGAACUUAAGCAUAUCAAUAAGCGGAGGAAAAGAAAAUAACAAUGAUUCCCUUAGUAACGGCGAGUGAAGGGGGAAAAGCUCAAAUUUUAAAUCUGCCUGGUUCACCUGGCCGAGUUGUAAUUUGAAGAAGCGUUUUCCGCGUUCGGGUCGGCCCAAAUCCUUUGGGAUGAGGUAUCACGGAGGGUGAGAAUCCCGUACGGUUGACCUCAGGACGCCUUUACGAUACGCUCUCAAAGAGUCGAGUUGUUUGGGAUUGCAGCUCAAAAUGGGAGGUAAAUUUCUCCUAAGGCUAAAUACCGGCGAGAGACCGAUAGCGAACAAGUACCGUGAGGGAAAGAUGAAAAGAACUUUGAAAAGAGAGUUAAAUAGUACGUGAAAUUGUUGAAAGGGAAACGAUUGAAGCCAGUCGUGCCUACGGGAAAUCAACCUUUCGAGCGGGGGAUCGUGGGUAACGGGGAGCCUCGCGGCCCUCGCUGCCUACGAUCCCCCCUGCUUCUGGGGCGUACUUCCCCGUGUGUAGGUCAGCAUCGAUUUCGCCCGCCACAAAAUGACCGGAGGAAUGUAGCUUCGAUCUCGCAUCGGAGUGUUAUAGCCUUUGGUAGAUGUGGUGGUUGGGACCGAGGAUUGCAGCGAAUACCCUCUGGGCUAUCCGUCUGACCUCUGGAAGUCGCUCGGGUGCCGAAAGCACGCUUACGGUCAUUCGAGUUGGCGGUCAAAAGGUUAGAACGCGAUUAAAUUCGCUAAGGAUGUUGACGUAAUGGCUUUAAACGACCCGUCUUGAAACACGGACCAAGGAGUCUAACAGGCGUGCGAGUGUUCGGGUGGUCAAACCCCUACGCGCAAUGAAAGUAAUUUAGGUGGGAUCGCUUUUUUUUGGCGAGCACCAUCGACCGAUCAGGAUAUUUUUUGAUAGAUUUGAGUAAGAGCAUACCUGUUAGGACCCGAAAGAUGGUGAACUAUGCCUGAAUAGGGCGAAGUCAGAGGAAACUCUGAUGGAGGCUCGCAGCGGUUCUGACGUGCAAAUCGAUCGUCAAAUUUGGGUAUAGGGGCGAAAGACUAAUCGAACCAUCUAGUAGCUGGUUCCUGC